GGCCUCCUACGGGGGGCAGCAGUGGGGAAUAUUGCACAAUGGGGGAAACCCUGAUGCAGCGACGCCGCGUGAAGGACGAAGUAUUUCGGUACGUAAACUUCUAUCAGCAGGGAAGAAAAUGACGGUACCUGACCAAGAAGCCCCGGCUAACUACGUGCCAGCAGUCGCGGUAAUACGUAGGGGGCAAGCGUUAUCCGGAUUUACUGGGUGUAAAGGGAGCGUAGACGGCCAGACAAGUCUGAAGUGAAAAUCCAGCGCUUAACGUUGGCAGUGCUUUGGAAACUGCCGGGCUAGAGUGCAGGAGG
This 305-nucleotide ribosomal RNA is filed under the name uncultured bacterium. Its description in RNAcentral is "bacterial SSU rRNA". It matches the Rfam family "Bacterial small subunit ribosomal RNA", at positions 333 to 655 of the family's 1533-position model. The record is from RNAcentral.